CCCAAAGUGCUGGGAUUACAGGCAAUGGCCACCAUUCCCAGCAAAAAUAACAUUUUAAAAUGGAACCCAGUUAGUGUUACAUACUUGAAAACACUGGCUGAGCACAGUGGCUCAUGCCUGUAAUCCCAACACUUUGGGAGGCCAAGGUGGGUGAAUCACCUGAGGUCAGGAGUUCAAGACCAGCCUGGCCAACAUGGUGAAACCCUGUCUCUACUAAAAAUACAAAAAUUAGCUCUGCAUGGUGUCGGGUGCCUGUAAUCCCAGCUACUCAGGAGGCUGAGGCAAGAGAAUUGCUUGAACCCGGGAGGUGGAGGUUGCAGUUAGCAGAGAUUGCACCACUGCACUCCAGCCUGGGCAACAGAGCAAGACCCUGUCUCCAAAACAAACGAACAAACAAGAAAACAUUAAAAACAAUUUUUUGCAGUUAUCUAGAACUCAAUUUAUGUUCAGUUAUCCCUAAUUACCUCUAAAAGUUUACUUAGUUUUGACUGGUUUGUUCCAGCCCAGGCUUUGCAUUGCAUCUGAUUGUGAUGUCCCUUGAGCUCCUCUGAUCAGGUCCUCUCGUGACAGAGACUGGAUUGAUUGUCCUGCAGAAGAUUCAGUCUUCUGCUUGCUUCUUCAUUGUGCCAUUUAACUUGUUUCUCUAUCCCUUACAUUUGCUCUAAACUAGAAGUUAGAUCUUUUUUUUUUCUUUGAGGCAGAGUCUUGCUCUGUCACUCAGGCUGGAGUGCAGUGGCAUGAUCUUGGCUCACUGCAACCUCUGCCUCCUGGGUUCAAGCGGUUCUCAUGCCUCAGCCUCCCAAGUAGCUGGGACUACAGGAAUGUGCCACCACGCCUGGCUAAUUUUUGUAUUUUUAGUAGAGACAAGGUUUCACUGCAAGCUCUGCCUCCUGGGUUCACGCCAUUGUCCCACCUCAGCCUCCCGAGUUGCUGGGACUACAGGCGCCCGCCACCACGCCCGGCUAAUUUUUGGUAUUUUUAGUAGAGACUCAGUUUCACCGUGUUAGCCAGGAUGGUCACGAUCUCCUUAUCUCAUGAUCCACCCGCCUCAGCCUCCCAGAGUGCUGGGAUUACAGGCAUGAGCCACCACACUCGGCCACCAGGCACUUUUAAAGGACCAGAUCUCUCAUGAAAUCGGAGUGAGAACUCACUUAUCUGGUCCUUUAAAAGUGGAUAGCCCCAGCCAUUCAUGAGGGAUCCAUCCCCAUGAUCCAAACACCUCCCACCAGCCCUCACUUCCAACAGUGGGGAUUAUAUUUCAACAUGAGAUUUGGGCAGGGACAAAUAUCCAAACUACAUCACUGCUAUUCUGACUUUUAUCACACAGAUGAGUUUUGCCUGUUUCCGUAAUUCAUACAGACAGAAUCUUACAAUAUGAACUCUUUCAGUCAGCCUUAUCUAUGAGAUACAUCCAUAUUGUUGUGUGUAUCACAUUUGGUCCCCAUUGUUGACUGAUUUAUUUGAAUGAAUCUGCCAUGGUUUUAUUGUUCGUUCCCUUGCCGUUAGACCUCCUAAUGGUUUUAACGCCAAUUGAUACUCUUACCUAAGUCCAUUAUUUCCUUGGAGGUGACAAAACUGAUCAGACACUGAAGUCAGCUGUCAUUCCUGAAAAAGUGGGAUAGGAGAGAUUUAAACUGACUUUGCAGGUCUGGUGGAAGGGAAGUGAUUCUAUUCAAGAGGAGCUCAUUUAGUGUAUACACAGCUACCCUGAAUCUGGUUUCCAAAGAACUCUUAAAUACCUGGCUUCAUGGCUUUCUAUAGCCACCCUGCAGAGAGGGGCAUGCUUUCUCCACCUCCUGGAAUGAGGGUCUUGAUGGGUGAAGUGUCCCCUGGAAGUCACAGAGCAAUGGCAGGGCGGGACUUUCCCCCUCAUAUUGGGCUUUUCCCACCAUUCUUCUUACUGUGAGGUCAAGGAAAGGAGUCUUGUCGAGACCUCCAGAGGAAAGAAGGAAGGAAAUACUCAGAGAGCAAGGUGGUACUGUGGAGUUUUGAAAUCCUGCUGGCUGUAGCAACAUGCCCUUUGUACAGGCUGAUAAAUGGAGGCAGACAGAGAAAGCCAGCAGCAGCCGGCCCUGCCUGCUGCCCGGGCAAGGCCAAGCCCCAAGAUCACAGCCUCCCUGGGCAAUGCUGGCUCUCUGCUCACACCAUUGUUUCAUGCCCAAAGUCAAAGUGGUGAAAAAGCAGUGGCCAGGCCCGUGCGUGGGGUUUGUCUCCAUGACACCCCCCUUCUAUGACAGCUGUUCUCCUACCAAGGCCUGGGAAAUGUUCUUCUCAAAGCCAUUAGCUCCUUCCAUGCCAAACAUUUAGUGACAUUCCUUUAGUCCUCUGUGGCACUUAGAAAACAUAGCUAUUGAGUAACUAUAUUAAGAAAUGCCAUCUACAGCCCACCCUUGGCCAGCCCCAGAAGCUCCAGUGACGUCCACCCUCCAGGGUCAUGGGGAAGGAGGCCCCUGCUGGCCUCUUGGGUCCUAAAUUGCUUUUCCUGGCACAGUCUCACUCUCUGGGCUCUGCUAGACAGACCACUGCAAUGGGACCUCAUUUUACAAGAACCCUAGAUUAAAAAUAAAAAAAAAAA
RNAcentral lists this long non-coding RNA (2575 nucleotides) under Macaca fascicularis (crab-eating macaque). RNAcentral describes it as "lncRNA (ENSMFAG00000054748.1)". Lineage: Eukaryota; Metazoa; Chordata; Mammalia; Primates; Cercopithecidae. The record is from RNAcentral.